UCCCUAGUGGCUCAGACGGUAAAGCAUCUGCCUACGAUGCAGAAGACCUGGGUUCGAUCCCUGAGUCGGGAA
RNAcentral lists this transfer RNA (72 nucleotides) under Ovis aries (sheep). It matches the Rfam family "tRNA". From Rfam's summary of the family: Transfer RNA (tRNA) molecules are approximately 80 nucleotides in length. The record is from Rfam by way of RNAcentral. Lineage: Eukaryota; Metazoa; Chordata; Mammalia; Artiodactyla; Bovidae.